UCUUCGUGUUCGAGAUAAAGGCGGUCUU
Molecule: small RNA, 28 nt
Filed under: Bombyx mori (domestic silkworm)
Lineage: Eukaryota; Metazoa; Arthropoda; Insecta; Lepidoptera; Bombycidae
Description: piRNA piR-bmo-1975484
Source: RNAcentral